This 274-nucleotide ribosomal RNA is filed under the name uncultured bacterium. RNAcentral describes it as "partial 16S ribosomal RNA". It matches the Rfam family "Bacterial small subunit ribosomal RNA", at positions 523 to 796 of the family's 1533-position model. The record is from RNAcentral.
AUACGGAGGGUGCGAGCGUUACUCGGAAUCACUGGGCGUAAAGCGCGCGCAGGCGGCUUGAUAAGUUGGAUGUGAAAGCCUACGGCUCAACCGUAGAACUGCAUCCAAAACUGUCAGGCUAGAGUGUGGGAGAGGAAGAUGGAAUUAGUUGUGUAGGGGUAAAAUCCGUAGAGAUAACUAGGAAUACCAAAAGCGAAGGCAAUCUUCUGGAACACUACUGACGCUGAGGCGCGAAGGCGUGGGGAGCAAACAGGAUUAGAAACCCUAGUAGUCC